Long non-coding RNA from Equus caballus (horse), 19185 nucleotides. The record is from Ensembl. NCBI's taxonomy places the organism in Eukaryota, Metazoa, Chordata, Mammalia, Perissodactyla, Equidae.
CAGGGGAGCUGAGUGAAUUCUCCCAAUAUCUUUUGUUCAUUUUGCCCAAAGGGUUUUAGGGACUUCCUCCAAAAGGGCUGGGUUCUUGGAGUUAUCCUCUGUUUUAUGAUGAAAAACUGUUAGAGAUACUGAAGAUUUCUUAAUGUUAUCUGAAGCAGUGAGGGUUGAGUCGAUUUCAAGAAGUAUUUCCCCCUUUUGAGAAAAAGAGAUGGCAGCAUGAUAUUUUUCUAAAAUGUCUUGUCCCAGUAAGUUGGCAGUAGCAGAAUUGACCAAUAGGAAAGAAUGACUGUCCUAGAGAGGGCCCAAUUGGAAAGGGAAGGGAAGGGAUUUAUAAGCUGUAGGGGGUUUAUUAGAUACUGCCACAAUUUGAAUUUUCUCAGUACUCUAAGGAAGGGGUUGUUUGAGGUUGGCAGGGUUGAACAUGGAAAGUGUGGCUUCAGCAUUGAUUAAGAUAGUAAGGACCUCAUUUCUGAUUAUUACGGAAGUUUCACCCAGGUGAUUAAUGAGGAGGAUCAGAAAAACUCCUUGUUUUUUCCCAGAGCAGCUUCAGUCCAUAGGAGGAGCUGAGGCUUAACAUCGGAGGAUUGUUUAGAGUGUUUUAGUUUAAGACAAUUGUUUUGCCAAUGGCUAGACUUUUUGCAAAAAUAGCAAACAUUUUUAGAGUUUAAAGGGUUUUACUUAGUUUGGUGAGGCUGAAAGGAGGCUGAUAGUUCUUGAAGCCGUAAAUUCUUGAUUUUAGUAGCCUUUUGUUUAUUUGAUUUUUGGAUAGUCUGGGCUAAUUGAUUUGCUGAAUUAACCAAAUCAGGAGUUGUUAUAAUUUCCCAAUUAAGUUGUGCUCACUUUACUAGAAGUGCAAGAUCUUCAUCUAAGACAUUUCUGAACACGGAAUUCAAGGGCACCUUAGUGGACUCUGUAUCUGAAGGGAGUCCAGAAUUUUCCUUAAAAAUAACUUCAAGCCUGUUGUAAUAGUCAUGCACAGGUUUGUCAGUCCUUUGUGUGCAUGCUUGAAUUCUAUUCCAAUCAACAGGUUUUGGUAAGGCCAAGGGAUGGCCUCAUAUAAGGUUUUUGCUUUUUGUUGGGCUGUAGGUCUAUCAUCUGGCAUGGUUAUGAAAAGUCCUGUAAAGGAUGAUUCCACCCGAGGUUAGCCGUGUAAUUUUGGGCCUGACCACCUCCCACGAGCAGGGGAAUUAAUUGAUAAAGACUGGAAAAUCCAGGCUCUCAUAGGUUUAAAUAACAAUGUUAAAAUCUUCUCCAAACUGGUGAGGGUCCUCAGUAACCUUGGGAAAUAUUUUACCUAUAGCCCUCAAUUCUGCUUUUGUCCAAGGCAUGUAAGCUAUAUUUAGGUGGAUGUUCUCUUAGUUUAAAAGGAUGAAUUUGAACUGGUUUAGUAAGUGAAGUUGGGGCUGGAGGAUUGAGGCAAGCCUCAGGGUCUAGGAGAUAAAAACAGAGUUUAGCAAGGGAAGAAUAAAGGGAAAAGGGAGGUGGAGGGUGGAGGACAGGUUUGAGAAGCCAGAAGGGGAGGAGAUUGAGCAGAGGGGUAACAGGAAAAACGAGUCUUUUGUAAUAGAGAAAUCUUUUCAGUAAAUUUAGGAUUUGUGUCUGGGAGGGGAGCAAUUUUAAGAGUCCUGGACUCUUUUACAAGCUUCUAAAUACCAAUUAAAGUAAAUAUCCCAUUCAGCUUGUUUUGUUCUAUGUCUUUCAAGUUUAUUGCACAGACAAAUACGUUUAGAAACUUUGAAAGAGCCACAUUGUGGUCACUGUAAUUUUAAAUCAUCUUUGGUGUUAUUGGUCCACCGAGAUGGACAUUUACGAGAGGAAGGACCAUAGUUCUUACACAUGAUACCAGCUGGAGUUCCCCGAGGGAGGAAUUUCUUGGGAAACUUUAGAAAAUGAAGUGUCCCAUGGUGAAGAAAAGCAUGCAAAUGAGAAUGAUAAUAGCAAAAUCCGUCUAUUUAUUUAGUGUACUUACCAAUCAAGGAAAAAGAAUCUUGCUGAGGGAAACUCUUCCUGCAGCAAUGACCAUAAGCCAAAAAAGCCACACCAGCACUGAGACAGUUAUCUCCUGGCCAGUUCCCCCUGAUCCUCCCACCCCUUCCCCACAAAAGGCACUGGUCUUGACCAAAUGGAGGGAGUUCAGCACCUGAGAAGACUCACAAUUGGAAGAAUCAGUGAUCUGUGGAAAUGGUGAGCCCAAGGGGCUUGUGUAGGCACUGUACCCCAUUCUAGGGGAUGCCAAUCCACAAAGGUGAGAUCACUUCAGCUCCUGCUUUCUGACACCAUGUAUGUUAACGUAAAAAUAAAGAGCCAAAAUGAGAGGCAUUUAUUUUGGGAUCACGAAAUUGCAAUUUGGAAUAGCGUCCUGUUAGGUAGUAAGAGGUAGGGGCUUUUGAAGACAAAAGAGGAAGGUUUGCAUUACAAAGAAUGUUAAUUUGGAUUGGCUGUAGAAAGCUCAUCUUGGCUAAACAUAAUUGUGAGACUAUGGCCAAAGUGAGGUAAAAGUUUGUCACAGUGACCAGUUGCAGGUCUCCUGUGGUGGUCUCAGAUUAUUUGUGUCUUAACUCAGUUCAAAAGUUCAUAUUCUGACUGAUGAGGAUGUUUAUAAGACCAAUUUCCUUAUGGCUUCCCAGCACUAUUUUAAAGCCCUUAGAAAUAAGUGACACCGUUUUGUUUUACAUUUCACAUUUCCUUAUUGAUUUCCUGUCUGGAUUAUCUAUCCAUUGUUGAAAGUGGGGUAUUGAAGUCCCCUGCUCUUCUUGUAUUGCUGUGUAUUUAUUCCUUCAGAUCUGUUAAUAUUUACUCUUUAUAUUGAGGUGCUACUGUGUCAGGGGUGUAAGUAUUUACAGUUGUCAUAUCCUCUUGAUGAAUUGACCCCUUUAUCCUUAUAUAAUGGCUUCUUUGUCUCUUUCAAUCUUUGGCUUAAUCUAUUUUGUCUGAUAUAAGUAUAGCUCCCCCUGCUUUAUUCUGGUUUCCAUUUGCAUGGAAUAUCUUAUUCCACUCCUCCUUUUUCAUUCUAUGUGUGUCCUUAAAGCUUAGUUGUCUCUUCUAGGCAUUAUAUAGUUAAGUCUUUUUUUUUUUUUUUUUCAUACACUCAGCCACUCAGUCUUUUACUAAAGAAUUUAGUCAGUUUACAUUUAAAGUAAUUAUAGACAGAUUUGGACUGCUAUUGUCAUUUUGUUAAUUGUUGUUGUUUUGUAAUUCUUUUGCUCCUUUCUUCCUCUUUUCCUCAACUGCUUUUUGAUCUGAGGAUUUUCUGUAGUAGUAUGCUUUGAUUUCUUUAUCUUUUGUGCAUCCAGUAUAGGCUUUUGCUUUGUGGUUACCAUGAGGCUUACAUAAGAUAUCUUUUAUGUAUAUAAGUCUGUAUUAAGUUUGUAAUAUCUUUGAAUGUGUAUCAAUGCUCCCCCAAUCCCACAUAUGUUUUUGAUGUCACAAUUUUCUUCUUUUUACAUUGUGUAUCCAUUAAUGAAUUAUUGUACUUAUAGUUAUUUUUAAUACUUUUGUCUUUGAACAUUCAUCUACAGUUAUAAGUGAUUUACACAUCACCAUUACAUUAGAGUAUUCUGAGUUUAACUGUAUAUUUACCUUUACCAGUAAGUUUGAUAUUUUUAUAUGUUUUCCUCCUAUUUAUUAACAUCCUUUGGUUUCUGCUUGAAGAACAUUUUUUGUAAGACUGGUCUAGUAGUAAAUGAACUCUUUCAGCUUUUGUUUGUCUGGAAAACUUUAUUUCUCUUUUAGUUCUGAGGAACCACUUUGCCGGGGAGAAUAUUCUUGGUUGGCAGUUUUUUCUUUCAGUGUUUUGAAUAUAUUGCCCUGCUCCUUUCUGGCCUGCAAGAUUUCUGCUGAAAAUUUUGCUAAAAGUCUAAUGAGGGUUCCCUUGUAUUCAAUAAGUUGCUUUCUCUUGCUGCUUUUACAAUUUUCUCUUAAACUUUUGACAAUGUAAUUAUAAUGUAUUUUGGUGUGGGUCUCUUUGUCUUCCUUUUUUUGUUAUUCUCUGGGAUUCUUGGAUCUGGAUGUCUGUUUCUUUCCCCAUAUUAGGGUAGUUUUCAUGUCAUUAUUUCUUUGAAUAUGCUUUCUUCUCCUUCUCUCUCUUCUCCUUCUAGGACCUCUAUAAUAUGUAUAUUUGUUCUUUUGAUUGUGUCCCUAAGUCCCUUCAGCUAUCUCCACUUUUUCAUUCUUUUUUUCUUUUGGCUUAUCUGACUGGAUGGAUUCUAUUGCUCUGUCUUCAGUUUCACCAAUCCUUUCUUUUACUUGAUCUAGUCUACUAUUGAACGUGCCUAUUGGAUUUUUCAGUUCACUUAUUGUGUUAUUUAGCUUUCUGGUUUCUGUUUGGUGCUUUUAAUUUUCUUUUUUUCUUUGUUGAAAUUCUCACUUUGUUCAUACAUUGCUUUCCUGAUCUCAGGGAGCAUUUUUUUGACCAUUGUUUUGAACUCUCUAUCAGGUAUAUCACUUGUCUUGAUUUUAUUAAGAUCUGAUUCUGAAUGUUUAUCUUGUUUUUUGUUUGAAACAUAUUCCUUUGUCUCUUCAUUUUCCUUGAUUCUGUCUUGUUUCUGUGCAUAAGAUAAAAUAUCCACUUUUCUCAGUCAUGAAAUAAUGGUCUUGUGUAGGAAAUGAAUCUUUUUGAUCAGCCCAGCCCAACCUUCUAGUUGUCUCUCAAACCUUUGUGAUUGUCCAAGCCUUCUUUUUUGUUCUUAGAGGGUCACAGUAUUUGUGGAUGUGCCAAGACCCAAGAGUGUCCCAAAGGGGAGGUUCGCAGUCUGUGCCUAGUUGCAUGCUGAUUAGAAGGUUGCCCCUCAGGCAGCAAUUGGGAAACUAUGUAGUUAAGGUCCUUCUAGCGGGAAGCUGGAAGAUGGACAUUUUUGCCUGCUCCCUCUGUUGUGGGCCUGGGUAGAUAGCCAUAGGGUGGAGUGCUGUUGCACCUGUUAAGAGCUAUUUCUUUGUUUGCUACAGUCCUGUGGGACUUGUGAUUGCAAGCUCCUUUGUCUGUUAGAGCCAGGUGAUCUUGGGGCUUGUCCCUCAGGUGGCUUCCACAAAAUCUGGGGUACCAGAUGUGUGUAGAAGCUCCUUCCAGAGAAAUAUUGGUAACUUGGUUUUAUUAUUGGAGUGGGCUCAAGGGAAAAGGUGUGAGAGGUAUCUGCUUCCCUCUCUGGUUUCUGGGGAAGAUUGCGGCCAGCCCCUAGUUGGCCUGAUAAAUUAGAAGUCUGGCCCUCAGGCGACAGCUUUUAUAGUUUGCAGACAGACUUCUUUCAGGGGAAAAUUAGACUAUGGGCAAUUUUGCUUAUUCCUUCUGCACUGAACCUAGAGGGGAUAGUUGGUUGGGAAUAUGCUUCUUUAUUUGCUACAGUCCUGUGGGACUUGUGAAUGGAAGCCCCUUUAUCUAUCAGAGCCAGAUGGUCUGGAGACCUGGUCCUCAGUGGCAGCUACAAAUGCUGGGGUGCAAGUGAGUGUAUAAGCUCCUUCCAGGGAGAUACUUGGAACUUAGAGCAGGCUGGAGUGAGAAGGUGUGAGUAGUGUCCACUUCCUCAGUCUCUGGGGAGGAUCACAGCCAGAGCCAGUGCCUGCUAAAUUAGAAGACUGGCCUUUAGGCAGCAGCUUUUAAAGUAUGCAGAUAAAUCUCUUUCAUGGAAAGACUGUGAGAUGUGUUGUGUUGCCUGUUUCCUCUGUACUGAUCCCUGGGGUGAUAUCCUUGGUGAGUGCACAGUGGUUAAGAAUUGCUUCCUUGUUUGUUAGUCUUAUGAGUCUUGUGGACACAAGCUCCAUUGGCAUUUAGAGGUAGGGGUUUUGUGAGCUGGUCAUUCUGGUGAUAGUCUUAAAUGCUGGUGUGUUAGAUGUGGAAUCCAAGCCAUUAACUCUUCUGGGAGAAGCUAGAAGUUGAAGAUUCCCUCCCAGUUGUACCAUGCUGUGCUGGGGGUGGAUUUUACGGCACAGUGUCUCAGCCUUUCUUACCUGUUUCAAUGUGGAUAUUUUCUGAUUUGUCCUAUGUGUAGGAGUUGCUCAGCUAGUUUCUGGAUCUCUUUCAGAGGAAAUUGCUCUGUGUGUAGCUGUACAUUUGGUAUGUCUGUAAGAGGCAGGGAGCUCAGGAGCCUUCUAUGCACCAUCUUGGUCAACUCCCAAUUCCUAAACUUUGAAUCUUGCUUCUCAGUAAAAAUUUUUACCUUCUCCCUAACAUUGUUUUCCAAAUUUGAAGUAUAUUCUUCAAUAAUAUUUUAAUCUUCUGAGUUUUCUUACCCUUGAGUUAGAUGCCUCACUUAAAUGACAAUAAAAAUAUUUAUUUCUGCCAAAGCUCUUCCUGAGAUUGGAACCAUUAUUCUAGGGUUGCAUUUCAAUCCUGUGCUGACUUAUUAUUUUAAGUAAGGAUUACUUUAAAACAGAACUAAGUUAAGAACAUAUAAUUGUGGAAAAUCAGAGAAAUUUGCAUUAACUACACGAAUUUUAUUAGCUAUACAAAUUUCAUUAGCUAUGCAAAUAUAUACGUCUUUCACUGUUUCCUUUUUUUUCUUUAAAGAUAUUUUAUUCUGUGGAUCUGAUUUUCAUUAUGGCCAGUAAACAUAUUCUAUAUCAUUUGAAAGAUUUUAAAGCUUUUGUGAGUUGGUUUUUGGCCUAGUAUAUAGUUUGUCUUAGUGAAUGUACUGUAGGCGCUUAAAAAAAAGUAUGUUCAUUCUAAAGUUGUUGGUUAUAGUGUUUUAUAAAUGUCCAUUCAGUUGAGAGGGUUGAUAGUGUUGCUCAUGUCUUCUAUGAGUGAUAUUAUUGUGUCUUGUUCUAGAAAUUACUGAAAGAGUAGAGUUAAAAUCACCAACUGCCACUGUGGAUUUGUCUGUUACUCCCUUUAUUUAUGUCACUUUCAUUCCAUGUAAUUUGAAACUCUGUUAUUAGUCAGAUAAACGUUCAUAAUUGUUACGUUUUUCUUGUAAAUUGACCUUCUUAUAUUGUGAAAUAUCUCUAUCUCUGGUAAUACACUGUCUUGAAUUUUAUUUUAUCUAAAAUUAGUAUAGCCACCCCAGCCUUCUUAGGCUGUAUCUUUUCACCUUUUUUUCUUUCACCCUCUAUCUUUAUGUAUAGUUUUGUCAUUUUAGACAGCAGUAUAGUUGAGAUAUGUUUUAACUUUUAACAGCUGGAGUUUUUAUUUACGUAUAAUUAUUGAAAAUGUGGAUUUUCUACCAUUUUUAUUGUUUAUUUGUAAAUGUGUACUCACCUCCAGUGUCUAUGUUUUGUUUUUUGUUCUUGUCUCUCUUCUUUCUUGCCUUCUUUUGAUUGUUUGAAUACUUUUUAGAAUUCCAUUUUCCUUUAUCUUUUUAAGUCUAUCUCCUUGCAUUUUUUAUUGAUUACAAUAUAUAUAUUUAGUUUUUUCAGUCUUUUAAAAGUAAAUAUUAUAUUACUUCACAUAAACAUAAGAAUCUUAAACCCACAUAUACUCAUUUUCCUAGUCCCUGCCCUCUUUAUGCUAGAGUUGUCAUAUAUAUUAUAUUUCCAUUACUAUCAACUCUACAGCCAAUCAUAUAUUUGUUUUAAAUAAGUGUAUUUAUUGUAAAGAAUUUGAGGGAAAAAUAAUAUUUCAUAUUUACUUAAAUAUUAGUCAGUUUCCAUGCACUUCAUUCUAUCCUGAAGGUCCACGUUUCUUUCUGUUAUCAUUCUCUUUCUUCCCACAGAAAUUGCUUUAGCACUAUGACGACUGGCCCUAAUUUUUUUAUAGUUUUCUUUUAUCUGAUACUGUCUGUUUUAGUCUUCUUUAUUAAGGGAUAUUGUUACUGAAUAUAGAAUUAUGGCUUGAAUUUUUUUCUAGUACAUUAAAGACAAUAUUACAUAGUUUUCUGGCCUUCAUUGAAUAUAGCGAUUUCUCUCAGCUUUUUUGGUGGUAUCCAGCCUCCUUGGGCAAUGACUUAAGUCUAUUUUGACUUCAUCUGAGGAGUUAUAAUUGUUUCAACAUCUCAGAAUAGGAUUUAUAUAUUCCAACGCUAUUAUUUAACCUAGUUUGUAAAACGUGAAAGAGUCAAUAAUAUACAUAACCAGUGGAUACAAUCUUUAAUCCAAUCGAACUGUGUUUUCAAAGUUUCUUCUUGUUUGUCCACAUUAUGUGCAUCAGAGGGUUUAGAAAUAAAAAGAGAGUCUAAAAAUUGUUAACUUACUUAAAUUGUCCUAUUUUUUAAUUUUGCAGUCAACUAAAAAUAUAUAUGUGUGUUUACUUGAAACUUUUAUGGCCAAUUUAUUGUUAAUAUUCUAUGAAAACGUCACUCAAAAUCAAUUAGAAAAAAGAUAUCUGAGUUUGAAAGUGAGAAAGCAUAUAAAUUAACAAUUCGUAAAAGAAAAGUAUUGGGACCAGCCUGGUGGCAUAGUGGUUAAGUUCAUGCACUCUGCUUUGGCAGCCUGUGGUUCGCAUAUUUGGAUCCCGGGUGUGGACUUAUAUGCCACUCAUCAAGCCAUGCCAUGGUGGCAUCCCACAUGCAAAACAGAGAAAGAUUGGCACAGAUAUUAGUUCAGGGCCAAUCUUCCUCACCAAAAAUAAAUAAAUAAUUUUUUUAAAAAGUGUUCUAUGAUUGGCAAAGAGCAUAUAAAAAUAUGCUCAACUUUAUCAAUCUUUAUAAUAAAUUAAUUAAAUAGAUAUAUUAAACAAUUAUAAAUUAUUAUAUAAUGAAAUAAUUAUAUAUGUAUGUGUCUGUGUGUACAUACACGUAACACACAAAAAAUGAAGCACAUAAUGAAAUAAAUCAACAAUUACUUGCUUUUUUCACCUAUCAGAUGAAUAGUUACAUUUGCUAAUACAGGGUGGAGAAUUUUUUCGGGAGAUAGUGGAAAAUAUCUAUCAGAUGGAAAUUAGCACAUUUUGACUAACAAAUUUAUUUGUAGAAAUUUACCUAUAGGGUAUAGUAGGAAGUGUUUAAAGAUGUAUGUAAAUUCAAGCAUACUCAUUGCAACCUUAGUUAUACUUGUAAAAUUGAUGUAACCUGUUAAGUUGUAAGGCUAGGCAAAUUAGUCAUGAUAACAUUUAUCCAGUUGGAUUAUAUUCAGUUAUAUAUGGUAAUGUAUUUCAAAUUAAUUGAUACAAAAAUCCAGGGUUUUCGAAAGUUCAUUUAUCCACCAGUUAUUGAAUACCAACUAUGUUUGAGGCAUUAACAUUGUAUUUCAUUCAUGUAAAAUUAUAUAUGUAUGUGUUUGGAUAUGACCAAUAAAGCAAUUUAAUAGGAAGAAUAUUAAAAAAAGUUAUAGUGAAUUCUGAUCAUUAUUUUACUGUUUCAUUUGUGUGUGGUGUGUGUGUAUAGUUUAAAAUAUAUAUAUAUAUUUCAGUUAUAUAUAGCAUUUAUUAAGUUCUUAGUAUAUGUACCACAUGCUAAGAUAUACACUAUUUCAUGGAUUUUCUCAUUUAAUGUUCAUAAUAACCAUACGGAGUAGGAUAUUUACUCCCUUUCAAAGAUAAGAAAAUAGAGGCUGAGUUUGAUUGUAUAAUUCAUCCUAUUAUUCAUAACUUUAAAAAAACAUGACCCUAUGGAGUCACAGCCUUUGGAAGAUAAUUAAAAAUACUUAUAUUUUGCUAAAUCUAUUAAGAAAACAGUGUUUUGGGAAAGAAUGAAAAUUUCUGAGGUCAUAUUCAUUCUCCCUUUGUCUGUAAGGUCAGAGCCAUGAGAAUUACUAGGUGCAAUUUAUUGAGCUAAAAAGUGUAAGUGUUGAAAUAUUGCAGGAACAGGCGAAAAAGAUGAAUAGGACGUGGGUUUCUGGAAAAUUCCACGGUAUAGACCUGCAAAAUAUGACCUCUUGAAUUAUGGGGUACCAGUGCUUAGGAGACAGGACACUGUUCCUUAGCAGAAACCAUUUCAUAGAUGAAACAUGGGGAUACCAUGAGGGCAGAGAUCAAAGUGCAAAGAGAAAUGGCCAGUCAAGAUGAAUGUCACUAAAUGAAAGAAACCAAUUUUGGAAUAGACCUGAUGACAGGCAAUACCAAAACAUAAAUACUGCAGAUAGCAGGAAAAAGGCCAAUGAGGAUCUCAGAGUGAAAAAGCAAUCCCCAAAAGGUGUAGAUGUAAAUGUUAUAAUCUCCUGUUGGAAUUUUUUUUCCAGUUGUAAUUUAUGACUAUAUGGUCUGGAUUCUAAACUACCUAUCUCAUUUGAGUAUGUGUUCCAUAAUCAGUUCACUUCUCCCCAGUUAUCUAUAUUCAUUCUAACCCUUUUCCAAAGACAACAUUUUGUGUCUUGUGAGUGCAGUUAAUUAGCAAUUCUGAGCUAGUAGCUGAAAUGUUGGCCAAAAUGAUAAACAGAGGGAAUUGUGACAUAAAUUUUGCCUGACUAUGCCACAACAGUGGAUAAAGUAUGUUUAGAAAUUUGGUUUAUAAUGUGAGGAAUGUGCUAUGCUAUUCUAACUUUGCCUUUUUUUCUUCUGGUAUUUUGAGGGGAAAUGGACUAUAUAAGUUACUUCCAGUUGGGGCUCUGGAACAUUGAGAAUGUUGAAGGAGGAAGAUAAGUACAGAAGGAGAAAGCAGUUAUAGAUGGGAUGCCUGUCACAGCAUGGCUUGACAAGCGGUGCAUAAGCCCACACCUGUGAUCUGAACUGGUGAACCCCAGGCCACCAAAGCAAAAUGUCAAAGGCUAGAACAAGUUACCAUACUUCAGAGAAGAGAGGUGGAACUGCCAUCAAAGGUCACUGCCAAGAACCAAGAGAACAACUUCCUGUCCUUUGAUGAACACAACUACAAAGGAAUCAUGGCGGAAGUGUGGCCAGGGAUGUGCACCCCACCAACGGAUGGCUCAGGAUGGUCAGCACUGCUUUGUCCAAAGUUCAGCAUAUAUCUAGGUAGGGUUUGGUAGAAAGGCCUGGGAAGCUUCUUGUGCACGUGUGCCCGGGGGCCCGCGGCGUCGUGCUCUGAGGGCGGACUGACUGUUGCCCCUGCUCCGGGGCUCGGCUCUGGAUUCUCCAGGCCGCUGGCGCCCAUGAGGCGAUCGGCUCGCCCGCUGCGGAGCCCCCCAGCCUGCCUGGUUAGUUUGUCCAGGUUGGCAGAACGUGCUCGGAUCGAUGAUGACUCCCUCAUAUGCAUUCCUUGGAAAAUCUGAACAAAAUGAGUGAGAACUCACUACCGUCGUUCUCAUCGAAACUGAGGUCCGGCACGUUGUCUUCCCCAGGCAUGGCAGGAGUGAGGGACCGCUUCCCCUUGAGCGCACUGGGACGGGCACGGGCACCACGCCGGGCGUCCGCAUUUGGGAGCCGUGGCAUCUGGGGGUCCUUCCUCUCACCGCGUGAGGGGGGUGUCCGUCAGUCGGCGGUGCUUGGUUGAACGGCCUGUGGCUGAGGGCCGUGGCUGGCAGCUCGCAUCCUAGGUUGGGAAGUCGGAGAGUGUGGCGCUGGCACAGGCCCCGUGAGCUCAGGGCCUUGUGGCUGUGUGGGCCUGGUUCCCGCUGGGGACGAAGGCCCCGGGGGUCUGCGUCUCAGAGCUGAGCAGUAAGCAGUGGAAGGUCGCGUGGUUUCUGAUGAGAGCCCCGGGCCAGGCGGGCGGCCGUCAGCUGUUCUUGCCUUUUGGCUUGGUGAGGCAGUUGGAGCACCCCUCGCGGUUUGGGGCGCCGCCGGAGGGGUGAGACUUUGGUGCUGCAGCUUGGGGCUCCUCUAGUUCUCCGGCUCGCCCAGUCCACGCCAAGGUGCCCAAACGGGGACCGGGCUGUGGGCCUGGCACUCAGGUCAAGACACUGUGGUGGUUGAUGGCCUGGUCGUGGGGAGCUGGGGGGGAAGAAGAGCACGGAGAGGACAGGUCACAGUGUGAUGCCGUGGGCUUCCGUGGGACGUGCUGCCUCGUUGUGUUCCGAGCGCUGGCAGCGGCUUGUCGGGAAGGUGCCCUGGCUCUGACGGGGCUGGCGAUUGGUGCGUGCCGGGGAAGGCUGGAGGCUUGAAGGCCCGGGGGUGUGCACUGUGGUCGGUGACCUUUGUGGCAGAUGGCGGGCCUUGUUCCAGAGCGGUGGCGCUCUGCGGUUCUCUCCACGGUUCCUUGAAGAGGGGCCCGGCACGUGACUGCCGGGCGGCCGGCCGCCGCUGCUCAUCGAUUGCUUGGGCGACCGUGGCCUUGGAUCCUCCGCCGUCUCAGGCGCGGGGUCUCCGAGGAGAAAGCGUUCCUCCAGCACGGUCCGAUUUUCCUGGCGCGGUUCGCCUCAUGCCUCGUCGCAGGGCUUUAGGUUUCUUCGUGGAAGCCUGUGGGCCUGGCGGAGACGGCGGGUGCCGUGACCCGAGCUGCCCUGCCGCGCACAGACGUCCGCCUUGGAAAACGUCCGCCUCUCCAAGGGUGGCGGGGGCGGGGUGUGUGUGUGCUCGUUCCGUGCCUCCUCUUGCCUUCGUGGACAGAGCCAUCCUUGGGGCCGUGUGAGGUCGUUUGUGGUGUUACAGGUGCCGAGGGAGGGUCCAGACGUUGAACGUGACGGGUCGAGUCCCGUACGCACAGUCGAGAUUCCCUCGUGGCCGUCCUCCCCGGGGCUCCCUGGCCGCCACGUGUGUGUAGGGUUUGAGGUCCUGCUUGGGGGACUUGCCUCGCAGGCCUGAGGUGGGCCAGGCAGCGCGUGGGUGGGAAGGAGUCCUGGAAGGCCGGGGUCCAGAAAGCGGGCCCGCUGUGGUAACGCCAGGUCCCUGGACGGGAGUGGGCUCCAGGUUCAGUCGGGUCUUAGCGUGGGUCGUGGUGGCCACAGACCACCUCUUCCUGGCACUUCCCCUGCCCUGGCACCGCUGAGGGCGUGGGUGUAGCCUCAGUCAGCAGGAAGAGGCGCCUGGCCCCCGGUCCCCGGUGGCGUGGCCACUGGAGAUCAGGAGGGGCUGCUGCUUCUGCCCUCUAGCCCGUGUCCCAGCGGCGCCAGCCUUCGAGUGGUGUAGGCGCUUUACGUGGUUCAGGUCCAGCAGUGGUCGGCGCGUUUCCGUCGGGCGCGGUUCGCGUGGCACGGCGUGCGGGGACAGCGGGCGCCCACGGUCGGGCGGAGGGUGAACCUGCUGGAGUGUCGUGUUCCGGUGUUCAGAGGCAGGGGCUGUGAGAGAGGGAGCCUGUGGCCUAUUUCAGCAGGCCGAAAGGGCAGAGGUGAGCCGCCGGGCGAGUCGAGGUCAAAGCCGCCAGCGCGAGCUCUUGGUCUCGCGGCAGGGCCUGAGGCCAGGGAUGUGUGCGGAAGACGUGCUUCUUCAGGGGCUCGGGCCCCGCGCACCCGAAGACACGCACACGCGCCCGCCUGCGCGCCUUCCUGCGCUUGUGCUGUCACACACGCCUUCUUGUCACACCUGAGGGGAAGAGGUAGAGGCCAAGAAGAUGCAAGGCUUGCCCCGGGGCAGGGAGUCGGGGUGGAACCCUUGGCCUGGCUCUGGUUACCUGAGAGCCUGGCUGGGUCGCUGAGGCGUGCGCGUGCGAUUGCUCUGCACUUCCCAGGUGGGAUCUCCGAGCAAAGCUUGCCGUCGCCCAAGAAGAGAAGACCUUCCUGUCGUUUGUGGAGCGGAGACGCGAGGGAAUCCCGCAAGAAGCGUGGCUUCGGGUGCGCCCCGUGCCCGUGGCUCGCUGAGGCUGGGAAGGCUCGGCUGCGGUAGAUGACCUGUGCGGUAGACGGCGUCGCGCCCCCGGGAGGUUCGGCCCCCAGUGUUUGUCGUCCUAGCGCCUUGAAGAGACCCACAGGCCCGCGACUGGCCACCGGCCCCGUCUGCUCCGGAUUGCUGAGGCGGACAAUCUCUUUGACCCUGCGCCCCCUCGGGUCCGGCGCUUGCCAGGUGAAGGCGUUGCUGCAGGAAGGUUCGCUCUUCCUGGCCCGGGGGGCUCCUGUGGUCCCGGGCGUGCCGGGGAGCGGGGCCAGGUGGCGGUGUGGGGCGUCGGGGGGGGGGUGUGGGGGCGUGCGCGAGGGGUGGUUAAGAGCGGUGUGCGGAAGCCUGCGGGCGUGGCAGCGACCCGAGGGUGCUGCGAUCCUGGGCGCCCUGCCCCGGACGCACGUCCAGCGUGGAGGAGGAGCACGUCUCCUUGUGUGGGAGCGGUGUCCUAGUUUCAUUCUUUGCCUUGUCUUCCAGGAGGAGGCAGCGUUUGUGCUCUGUGAGGUCGUCUGUGGUGUUCUGGGGCCGAAGGAGGGGGUCAUAGGUCGAGUGCGACGCGGUCGACUUAGGCAAAGUCAUAAUGCCUUGACGGCUGUCGUCCGGGAGGCUCCCUGCCCGCCUGGCGCGCGAGGUGUUGGAGGCUACACCUUGGGGGACUUGCUGUGCAGGCGUGAGGGGGCUUCCCCUUUGGAGCAGGGAGCCGCGGGGUUGAACGUUUCCUCGAAGGCCAGCGCCCCGCAACCCGCAGGCGGUGGAAAUGCCGCGUCGCUGCGUGGGAAUUGGCUGUGGUCUGAGACGGGUCUUGCCCCGGGUCUCGGUGGCUGUGACCAGCCGUUGCAGCGGGGUUCCCUGCUGGCCCGCCCAGGGCGUCUUGGCUUAGAUAGCCCAGACCGGAGUGCGGCCUGAAGGCGUCGGGCCCCUGGAGGUUCAGACGGGCUGCUUCUGUUGCGCCGCCCGUGGGCGAGUGGUGCCGGCUCUCGUGUCAGCCCUGUUGUCCUGGCGGUAGCCAGGUAGCAUUACCAUCAAGUGCCGUUCCCCCCGGCCCAGCUCGCGGGGACACGCUGGCCACGUUGACCUCACAUCCACGGUCAGCGUGAGGGUGUAGGUGGAUGGUCCGUGUCCUUUGCUCAGAAGGAGUGGCGCUCAGAGAGGGAGUCCGGGGCCGAUUGCAGCAGCCUCUAGCGGUGCGAGUUGGCGUCCUUCCUUGGGAAGUCACCGGGCUUCCGCGUGGGGUGGCAGGGCACGAGGUCAGGCAUCUGUGAGGACGGCGUGCUUUCCCGGGUGCUGAGGCCACCGCACACGGAAGCCUGCAGGCACGCACGCGCGCACGCGCAAACACACACACACACACACACACACGUGCACAGGCCUGCGCAUCUGCCUACACUCGGGAUAUCACACGCGCCUUCGGUCAUCCCGAAGGGAUAGAGGUACAGGGCAAGCAGAUGCAAGGGUGCCGCGGGGGGAACUGUGGCACGGAUCCUGUCUUCUGACCAGCUGGGCACGUUUCUGAAGCAUGCGUGUGCUUUCUCUACACUCCUCAGGUGGAAGUGCCGUGCAAAGCUCGCUGCCGCCCACCGACAGAAGAAGACCCUUCGUGUCCCGUGACGAGCGCAGGUGCGAGGCAGUCGCGGCGGAAGUGUGGCCCGGGAUGCGCACCACGCCCUCGGACGGCCCAGGACGGUCAGCAUUGCUUUGUCCCAAGUUCGGCCUCUCGCCCUGAGGGCUUCGCUAGACCUGCCUCAGAGGCUUCUUGGGCGCGUGUACCCGGGGGCCCGCGGCGUCGUGCUCUGAGGGCGGACUGACUGUUGCCCCUGCUCCGGCGGGGCUCGGCUCUGGAUUCUCCAGGCCGCUGGCGCCCAUGAGGCGAUCGGCUCGCCCGCUGCGGAGCCCCCCAGCCUGCCUGGUUAGUUUGUCCAGGUUGGCAGAACGUGCUCGGAUCGAUGAUGACUCCCUCAUAUGCAUUCCUUGGAAAAUCUGAACAAAAUGAGUGAGAACUCACUACCGUCGUUCUCAUCGAAACUGAGGUCCGGCACGUUGUCUUCCCCAGGCAUGGCAGGAGUGAGGGACCGCUUCCCCUUGAGCGCACUGGGACGGGCACGGGCACCACGCCGGGCGUCCGCAUUUGGGAGCCGUGGCAUUUGGGGGUCCUUCCUCUCACCGCGUGAGGGGGGUGUCCGUCAGUCGGCGGUGCUUGGUUGAACGGCCUGUGGCUGAGGGCCGUGGCUGGCAGCUCGCAUCCUAGGUUGGGAAGUCGGAGAGUGUGGCGCUGGCACAGGCCCCGUGAGCUCAGGGCCUUGUGGCUGUGUGGGCCUGGUUCCCGCCGGGGACGAAGGCCCCGGGGGUCUGCGUCUCGGAGCUGAGCAGUAAGCAGUGGAAGGUCGCGUGGUUUCUGAUGAGAGCCCCGGGCCAGGCGGGCGGCCGUCAGCUGUUCUUGCCUUUUGGCUUGGUGAGGCAGUUGGAGCACCCCUCGCGGUUUGGGGCGCCGCCGGAGGGGUGAGACUUUGGUGCUGCAGCUUGGGGCUCCUCUAGUUCUCCGGCUCGCCCAGUCCACGCCAAGGUGCCCAAACGGGGACCGGGCUGUGGGCCUGGCACUCAGGUCAGGACACUGUGGUGGCUGAUGGCCUGGUCGUGGGGAGCUGGGGGGGAAGAAGAGCACGGAGAGGACAGGUCACAGUGUGAUGCCGUGGGCUUCCGUGGGACGUGCUGCCUCGUUGUGUUCCGAGCGCUGGCAGCGGCUUGUCGGGAACGUGCCCUGGCUCUGACGGGGCUGGCGAUUGGUGCGUGCCGGGGAAGGCUGGAGGCUUGAAGGCCCGGGGGUGUGCACUGUGGUCGGUGACCUUUGUGGCAGAUGGCGGGCCUUGUUCCAGAGCGGUGGCGCUCUGCGGUUCUCUCCACGGUUCCUUGAAGAGGGGCCCGGCACGUGACUGCCGGGCGGCCGGCCGCCGCUGCUCAUCGAUUGCUUGGGCGACCGUGGCCUUGGAUCCUCCCCCGUCUCAGGCGCGGGGUCUCCGAGGAGAAAGCGUUCCUCCAGCACGGUCCGAUUUUCCUGGCGCGGUUCGCCUCAUGCCUCGUCGCAGGGCUUUAGGUUUCUUCGUGGAAGCCUGUGGGCCUGGCGGAGACGGCGGGUGCCGUGACCCGAGCUGCCCUGCCGCGCACAGACGUCCGCCUUGGAAAACGUCCGCCUCUCCAAGGGUGGCGGGGGCGGGGUGUGUGUGUGCUCGUUCCGUGCCUCCUCUUGCCUUCGUGGACAGAGCCAUCCUUGGGGCCGUGUGAGGUCGUUUGUGGUGUUACAGGUGCCGAGGGAGGGUCCAGACGUUGAACGUGACGGGUCGAGUCCCGUACGCACAGUCGAGAUUCCCUCGUGGCCGUCCUCCCCGGGGCUCCCUGGCCGCCACGUGUGUGUAGGGUUUGAGGUCCUGCUUGGGGGACUUGCCUCGCAGGCCUGAGGUGGGCCAGGCAGCGCGUGGGUGGGAAGGAGUCCUGGAAGGCCGGGGUCCAGAAAGCGGGCCCGCUGUGGUAACGCCAGGUCCCUGGACGGGAGUGGGCUCCAGGUUCAGUCGGGUCUUAGCGUGGGUCGUGGUGGCCACAGACCACCUCUUCCUGGCACUUCCCCUGCCGCUGGCACCGCUGAGGGCGUGGGUGUAGCCUCAGUCAGCAGGAAGAGGCGCCUGGCCCCCGGUCCCCCGGUGGCGUGGCCACUGGAGAUCAGGAGGGGCUGCUGCUUCUGCCCUCUAGCCCGUGUCCCAGCGGCGCCAGCCUUCGAGUGGUGUAGGCGCUUUACGUGGUUCAGGUCCAGCAGUGGUCGGCGCGUUUCCGUCGGGCGCGGUUCGCGUGGCACGGCGUGCGGGGACAGCGGGCGCCCACGGUCGGGCGGAGGGUGAACCUGCUGGAGUGUCGUGUUCCGGUGUUCAGAGGCAGGGGCUGUGAGAGAGGGAGCCUGUGGCCUAUUUCAGCAGGCCGAAAGGGCAGAGGUGAGCCGCCGGGCGAGUCGAGGUCAAAGCCGCCAGCGCGAGCUCCUGGUCUCGCGGCAGGGCCUGAGGCCAGUGAUGUGUGCGGAAGACGUGCUUCUUCAGGGUCUCGGGCCCCGCGCACCCGAAGACACGCACACGCGCCCGCCUGCGCGCCUUCCUGCGCUUGUGCUGUCACACACGCCUUCUUGUCACACCUGAGGGGAAGAGGUAGAGGCCAAGAAGAUGCAAGGCUUGCCCCGGGGCAGGGAGUCGGGGUGGAACCCUUGGCCUGGCUCUGGUUACCUGAGAGCCUGGCUGGGUCGCUGAGGCGUGCGCGUGCGAUUGCUCUGCACUUCCCAGGUGGGAUCUCCGAGCAAAGCUUGCCGUCGCCCAAGAAGAGAAGACCUUCCUGUCGUUUGUGGAGCGGAGACGCGAGGGAAUCCCGCAAGAAGCGUGGCUUCGGGUGCGCCCCGUGCCCGUGGCUCGCUGAGGCUGGUGGAAGUGCCGUGCAAAGCUCGCUGCCGCCCACCGACAGAAGAAGACCCUUCGUGUCCCGUGACGAGCGCAGGUGCGAGGCAGUCGCGGCGGAAGUGUGGCCCGGGAUGCGCACCACGCCCUCGGACGGCCCAGGACGGUGGGAUCUCCGAGCAAAGCUUGCCGUCGCCCAAGAAGAGAAGACCUUCCUGUCGUUUGUGGAGCGGAGACGCGAGGGAAUCCCGCAAGAAGCGUGGCUUCGGGUGCGCCCCGUGCCCGUGGGUCGCUGAGGCUGGGAAGGCUCGGCUGCGGUAGAUGACCUGUGCGGUAGACGGCGUCGCGCCCCCGGGAGGUUCGGCCCCCAGUGUUUGUUGUCCUAGCGCCUUGAAGAGACCCACAGGCCCGCGACUGGCCACCGGCCCCGUCUGCUCCGGAUUGCUGAGGCGGACAAUCUCUUUGACCCUGCGCCCCCUCGGGUCCGGCGCUUGCCAGGAGGCAGCGUUUGUGCUCUGUGAGGUCGUCUGUGGUGUUCUGGGGCCGAAGGAGGGGGUCAUAGGUCGAGUGCGACGCGGUCGACUUAGGCAAAGUCAUAAUGCCUUGACGGCUGUCGUCCGGGAGGCUCCCUGCCCGCCUGGCGCGCGAGGUGUUGGAGGCUACACCUUGGGGGACUUGCUGUGCAGGCGUGAGGGGGCUUCCCCUUUGGAGCAGGGAGCCGCGGGGUUGAACGUUUCCUCGAAGGCCAGCGCCCCGCAACCCGCAGGCGGUGGAAAUGCCGCGUCGCUGCGUGGGAAUUGGCUGUGGUCUGAGACGGGUCUUGCCCCGGGUCUCGGUGGCUGUGACCAGCCGUUGCAGCGGGGUUCCCUGCUGGCCCGCCCAGGGCGUCUUGGCUUAGAUAGCCCAGACCGGAGUGCGGCCUGAAGGCGUCGGGCCCCUGGAGGUUCAGACGGGCUGCUUCUGUUGCGCCGCCCGUGGGCGAGUGGUGCCGGCUCUCGUGUCAGCCCUGUUGUCCUGGCGGUAGCCAGGUAGCAUUACCAUCAAGUGCCGUUCCCCCCGGCCCAGCUCGCGGGGACACGCUGGCCACGUUGACCUCACAUCCACGGUCAGCGUGAGGGUGUAGGUGGAUGGUCCGUGUCCUUUGCUCAGAAGGAGUGGCGCUCAGAGAGGGAGUCCGGGGCCGAUUGCAGCAGCCUCUAGCGGUGCGAGUUGGCGUCCUUCCUUGGGAAGUCACCGGGCUUCCGCGUGGGGUGGCAGGGC